GCGGUCGUGGCGGAAUUGGCAGACGCGCUAGCUUCAGGCGCUAGUGGUAGUAAUACCGUGGAAGUUCGAGUCUUCUCGGCCGCA
Molecule: transfer RNA, 84 nt
Filed under: Enterococcus avium
Lineage: Bacteria; Bacillati; Bacillota; Bacilli; Lactobacillales; Enterococcaceae
Also listed under: 5 other names
Description: tRNA-Leu
Rfam family: tRNA
About the family: Transfer RNA (tRNA) molecules are approximately 80 nucleotides in length. Their secondary structure includes four short double-helical elements and three loops (D, anti-codon, and T loops).
Source: RNAcentral